AGCGAACGCUGGCGGCAGGCCUAACACAUGCAAGUCGAACGAACCUUUCGGGGUUAGUGGCGGACGGGUGAGUAACACGUGGGAAUGUGCCUUUAGGUUCGGAAUAACUCAGGGAAACUUGUGCUAAUACCGAAUGUGCCCUUCGGGGGAAAGAUUAAUCGCCUUUAGAGCGGCCCGCGUCUGAUUAGCUAGUUGGUUGAGGUAAUGGCUCACCAAGGCGACGAUCAGUAGCUGGUCUGAGAGGAUGAUCAGCCACAUUGGGACUGAGACACGGCCCAAACUCCUACGGGAGGCAGCAGUGGGGAAUCUUGCGCAAUGGGCGAAAGCCUGACGCAGCCAUGCCGCGUGAAUGAUGAAGGUCUUAGGAUUGUAAAAUUCUUUCACCGGGGACGAUAAUGACGGUACCCGGAGAAGAAGCCCCGGCUAACUUCGUG
Molecule: ribosomal RNA, 434 nt
Filed under: uncultured bacterium
Lineage: Bacteria
Description: partial 16S ribosomal RNA
Rfam family: Bacterial small subunit ribosomal RNA
Source: RNAcentral